This 243-nucleotide ribosomal RNA is filed under the name uncultured Actinomycetales bacterium. RNAcentral's name for it is "partial 16S ribosomal RNA". It matches the Rfam family "Bacterial small subunit ribosomal RNA", at positions 88 to 334 of the family's 1533-position model. Lineage: Bacteria; Bacillati; Actinomycetota; Actinomycetes; Actinomycetales. The record is from RNAcentral.
UGCUCGAGUGGCGAACGGGUGAGUAACACGUGGGUGAUCUGCCCUGCACUUCGGGAUAAGCUUGGGAAACUGGGUCUAAUACCGGAUAGGACCAUCGUUUAGUGUCGGUGGUGGAAAGUUUUUUCGGUGUGGGAUGAGCUCGCGGCCUAUCAGCUUGUUGGUGGGGUAAUGGCCUACCAAGGCGUCGACGGGUAGCCGGCCUGAGAGGGUGUACGGCCACAUUGGGACUGAGACACGGCCCAG